This 534-nucleotide ribosomal RNA is filed under the name uncultured bacterium. Its description in RNAcentral is "partial 16S ribosomal RNA". It matches the Rfam family "Bacterial small subunit ribosomal RNA", at positions 355 to 900 of the family's 1533-position model. The record is from RNAcentral.
UGGGGGAUAUUGGACAAUGGGCGCAAGCCUGAUCCAGCCAUGCCGCGUGAGUGAUGAAGGCCCUAGGGUUGUAAAGCUCUUUCACCGGUGAAGAUAAUGACGGUAACCGGAGAAGAAGCCCCGGCUAACUUCGUGCCAGCAGCCGCGGUAAUACGAAGGGGGCUAGCGGUUGUUCGGAAUUACUGGGCGUAAAGCGCACGUAGGCGGACAUUUAAGUCAGGGGUGAAAUCCCGGGGCUCAACCCCGGAACUGCCUUUGAUACUGGGUGUCUAGAGUUCGAGAGAGGUGAGUGGAAUUCCGAGUGUAGAGGUGAAAUUCGUAGAUAUUCGGAGGAACACCAGUGGCGAAGGCGGCUCACUGGCUCGAUACUGACGCUGAGGUGCGAAAGCGUGGGGAGCAAAACAGGAUUAGAUACCCUGGUAGUCCACGCCGUAAACGAUGGAAGCCAGCUGUCGGCAAGUUUACUUUGUCGGUGGCGCAGCUAACGCAUUAAGCUUCCCCGCCUGGGGGAGUACGGGUCGCAAGAUUAAAAAC